This 2011-nucleotide non-coding RNA is filed under the name Pseudogymnoascus sp. VKM F-4281 (FW-2241). RNAcentral's name for it is "Bacterial large subunit ribosomal RNA". It matches the Rfam family "Bacterial large subunit ribosomal RNA", at positions 234 to 2373 of the family's 2925-position model. The record is from Rfam by way of RNAcentral. Lineage: Eukaryota; Fungi; Ascomycota; Leotiomycetes; Thelebolales; Thelebolaceae.
AUUCUACAAUUAGUGUGAAUUAAAGUAGAAGAGCCUAGAGUAUUAAAAGUAGAUAAAGGAUGACUAAAUCUCUAUUAGUACUUUAAAUAAGUAGAACGGGCUAUAAACCUGUUUGAAUGUUAAGGGGAACCUUCCUCUAAGGCUAAAUAUAAUAUAUAAGCGACAGCGUAUAGUUCUGUGAAGGAAAGGUUUGAAUUAGUAGUUUUAUAAGCAGCUCAAGCAAAGUUUAAAUACAUAGUGAGAGCGUACCUUUUGCAUAAUGGGUCAGUAAGUUAAUAUUAGAUGCGAGCAGCAAUGCCUAGAUAAACCAAUUAUGAAAUAAUGAAUUAGUAUCUAAAAUUAGACCCGAAGCCUGGUGAUCUUACCAUAGUCAGGGUUAUAAAAGCCCGAACGGGUUAUCGUUGUAAAGAUAUCCGAUGAACCGUGGUAAGUUAGUGAAAGACAAAACUGACCAGGAUAGCUGGUUUUCUGCGAAACCUAUAGAAGUAGGUAAUUUAAGUUACAUCAUAGCAGGUACAGAACUGUGAUCUCAGGCAACUUUAAUAGAUAACAUAUUUAUUUGUGUUAUUUAUUAUUUUUGUAUAUAUCGGGGGAUCGUGAAGAUUUUAUCGGUGAGUAUUCGCACUCGGAAGGGCAAUGAUGAAUAUUAAAUAAUCAGACAUAGUACGCUAAGGUUGUAUGUCUAAAGGGAAACAGCCCAGAACAAGAGUUAAGGUUCCAAAAUUAAUAUUAAGUGAAAUUAAGGAAGUUUCUAUCUAAUACGACUAGGAAAUAGGCUUAGAAGCGGCCAUUUUUUGAAGACCUCGUAACAGAGCACUGGUUCAGUAAAUAGUUUACUAUUUACAUUGAUAGUGGCACCGAAAAUUUAACGGAUCUAAAUAAUAUACCGACACCUUGUCCAUAUUAAAACAUAAUAUUAUAUAAUAUGGGGUAGCGGAACGUUGGGUAAAUUUUAGACUAUUUCUUAAAAAGAUUUAGUAAUAAAUGACCCAAGUGACAAUGCUGACAUGAGUAACGAAAAAGGGGGGUAUACCCCCCUCGCCUAAAGCUUAUGGAUUUUUUAAAGUAACGGCCUCUAAGUUUAUAAACCUAAAGGAUUAAACGAUGAGAAAAUCUUGUCUACAAAGUAACAACCUUUUAUAAGAAAAGUUAAUAAAUUUUUCUUAAGUGAAUAAGGUUCUGGAAAAACAGUAAAAACCUUUAGUAAAUAUCUUAAAAAUAUUAACUAUAAGGCGACAUAAUAACCGUACCUAGAGUCUACCACAAGUAAGCAAGUAGAGUAUACGAAGGCGUUUGAGUGAACAAUCAUUAAGGAACUCGGCAAACUAACUACCGUAACUUAGGGAUAAGGAGAGCCAUUCCUCCUGAUUAAUAUCAGGUAAAGAAUAGGAAGCAUGGAAUAGUGUUGUACGACUGUUUAAUUAAAACAAAGCACUCUGCAGUAAGAUAAUAAAUCAAAGUAUUGAGUGUGAUUUCUGCCCGAUGUCGGCUGGUUAACGGAUUUGUUAAGUUGACUAAUAUAAGCUUGACUUUGAAGGAAACCCCGAUCAAUGGCGGCCUUAUUUUGAGGGUCCUAAGGUAGCGGAAUACCCUGGCCGUUAAAUGCGGUCUUGCAUGAAUGAUUUAACGAUACAACAGCUGUCUCAAUGAUUGGCUCAGUGAAAUUGGAAUAACUGUGCAGAUACAGUUUACCUCUAGUUAGACGAGAAGACCCUAUGCAGCUUUACUGUUGCUAGUUAUUGGAUAUGAUUGAAUUAAUUUUAGUAGUAUAAGGUAAUUGGUAAGAUAAAAUUGAAAUACCUUUAUUUUGUUUGUCAUAUUGAUAGAUUUAUUCUAUUUUCUUAUCUAAAGAUAAGAGAUUACCCCUACUAUGUUAGGGGAACAAUGGCUAGGAGGCAGUUUAUGCGGGGCACAGAUCCCAUAAAAAGUACCUGGGUGUAUCCAAAGUUAAUUUUGUAAAAUUGACAUGACUUACUUCUAAAUAUAUUAUUUGGAAAUAAGUUUUCAUGAC